CUCAUACAGUGCAAGCAGGACCAUCAGUUCUCUCUGGGGUUUGCUGUGCAAACUCCAGCUCUCCAUGCAAAAGGAAAUGAGUGCAGAUGGCCACCUCUUCCAAAUGGCUUGUUAACUCCAUCCUGAUCAUUUGAUUGCAGUGUCCACUGCUGCUGCCCAUAGUACGUCCAUCACGACCACUGCCAGCGAGACAACAGUGUUGAAUGCUACUGCCGUUCCUGAUGCAUCUACCUCAGUCACUCCAAUCAAUGCAACUGCAUCUAAUUAUUCAAGCUUAUCAUCAACUACAGCCUUUCCACAAAACGGUAAGCAUCCCACUUCCUGUCCAAUUUUGCUCUGUUUCUUAUGCUGCAACAGUCUUACUCAAGUCUCCCCUAAUGGAUGUGUUAAUGUCAAAUGAGUGAACCUCGCAAGAGAAACACAGAAGAUAACGACGGACAUUAUUGCUGAAAAAUGGAACAGAGCUGUUUCUCUCGUUUCAGUAUCUAACUCCACCAUUUCAAACACUGAAACUGCUGAAAAUCUGUCUGCUUCAGCCAUGCCUUCUAACACAACAGAGUCCAGUGCUGUUACAGUUGCAACAAAUGUGUCCACAGUUGGCAAUGGGCAGAACAUCACAGUGCAUAACUCCACCGCUGGGUUUCUGAAUGUCUCCACGCCAGUCACUCCUACAGUCACUGCUACAACAGGUACGCACAAACCUACAGCCCAGGCUUGGAAAAAACUCAAGGGGAAACCAUUCUUUGUGUCUU
This 752-nucleotide long non-coding RNA is filed under the name Lepisosteus oculatus (spotted gar). Its description in RNAcentral is "lncRNA (ENSLOCG00000021550.1)". The record is from RNAcentral. Lineage: Eukaryota; Metazoa; Chordata; Actinopteri; Semionotiformes; Lepisosteidae.